CACGUAGUUAGCCGUGGCUUUCUGAUUAGGUACCGUCAAGACGUGCAUAGUUACUUGCACAUUUGUUCUUCCCUAAUAACAGAGUUUUACGAUCCGAAGACCUUCAUCACUCACGCGGCGUUGCUCCGUCAGGCUUUCGCCCAUUGCGGAAGAUUCCCUACUGCUGCCUCCCGUAGGAGUCUGGACCGUGUCUCAGUUCCAGUGUGGCCGAUCACCCUCUCAGGUCGGCUACGCAUCGUUGCCUUGGUAAGCCGUUACCUUACCAACUAGCUAAUGCGGCGCGGAUCCAUCUAUAAGUGACAGCAAAACCGUCUUUCACUAUUGAACCAUGCGGUUCAAUAUAUUAUCCGGUAUUAGCUCCGGUUUCCCGAAGUUAUCCCAGUCUUAUAGGUAGGUUAUCCACGUGUUACUCACCCGUCCGCCGCUAACGUCAGAGGAGCAAGCUCCUCGUCUGUUCGCUCGACUUGCAUGUAUUAGGCACGCCGCCAGCGUUCAU
This 496-nucleotide ribosomal RNA is filed under the name uncultured Staphylococcus sp. RNAcentral's name for it is "partial 16S ribosomal RNA". Lineage: Bacteria; Bacillati; Bacillota; Bacilli; Caryophanales; Staphylococcaceae. The record is from RNAcentral.